RNAcentral lists this ribosomal RNA (267 nucleotides) under uncultured bacterium. RNAcentral's name for it is "partial 16S ribosomal RNA". It matches the Rfam family "Bacterial small subunit ribosomal RNA", at positions 1234 to 1500 of the family's 1533-position model. The record is from RNAcentral.
GUGCUACAAAGAGCAGCAAAACCGCAAGGUAGAGCAAAUCUCAAAAAAGCAUUCUCAGUUCGGAUUGAGGGCUGCAACCCGCCCUCAUGAAGUCGGAGUUGCUAGUAAUCCCGAAUCAGAAUGUCGGGGUGAAUGCGUUCCCGGGUCUUGUACACACCGCCCGUCACGCCAUGGGAGUCGGGGGUACCCGAAGUCGGUGGGCUAACCGCAAGGAGGCAACCGCCUAAGGUAAAACCGAUGACUGGGGUGAAGUCGUAACAAGGUAAC